GACCUGUAAGCUCAGUAGGUUUAGAGCGUGGUGCUAAUAACGCCAAGGCCGUGGGUUCAAUCCCCACACGGGCCA
RNAcentral lists this transfer RNA (75 nucleotides) under Blattella germanica (German cockroach). RNAcentral's name for it is "tRNA-Ile (AAT) (tRNA-Ile-AAT-29-1)". It matches the Rfam family "tRNA". Rfam says of the family: Transfer RNA (tRNA) molecules are approximately 80 nucleotides in length. Their secondary structure includes four short double-helical elements and three loops (D, anti-codon, and T loops). Lineage: Eukaryota; Metazoa; Arthropoda; Insecta; Blattodea; Blattellidae. The record is from RNAcentral.